CCUACGGGAGGCAGCAGUGGUGAAUAUUGGGCAAUGGGCGCAAGCCUGACCCAGCAACGCCGCGUGAAGGAAGAAGGCUUUCGGGUUGUAAACUUCUUUUCUGAGGGACGAAGAAAGUGACGGUACCUCAGGAAUAAGCCACGGCUAACUACGUGCCAGCAGCCGCGGUAAUACGUAGGUGGCAAGCUUUAUCCGGAUUUAUUGGGUUGAAAGUGCGUGUAGGCGGGAAAGCAAGUCAGAUGUGACAACUCAGGGCUCAACCCUGAGCGUGCAUUUGAAACUGUUUUUCUUGAGGGCUGGAGAGGCAAUCGGAAUUCCGUGUGGAGCGGUGAAAUGCGUAGAUAUACGGAGGAACACCAGUGGCGAAGGCGGAUUGCUGGACAGUAACUGACGCUGAGGCGCGAAAGCGUGGGGAGCAAACAGGAUUAGAUACCCGGGUAGUC
RNAcentral lists this ribosomal RNA (443 nucleotides) under uncultured bacterium. Its description in RNAcentral is "partial 16S ribosomal RNA". It matches the Rfam family "Bacterial small subunit ribosomal RNA", at positions 338 to 795 of the family's 1533-position model. The record is from RNAcentral.